GACGAACGCUGGCGGCGUGCUUAACACAUGCAAGUCGAACGGUGAAGCCCUUCGGGGUGGAUCAGUGGCGAACGGGUGAGUAACACGUGAGCAACCUGCCCUGACUCUGGGAUAACUACCGGAAACGGUGGCUAAUACCGGAUAUGACGCGCUGCCGCAUGGUGGUGUGUGGAAAGUUUUCGGUUGGGAUGGGCUCGCGGCCUAUCAGCUUGUUGGUGGGUGAUGGCCUACCAAGGCGACGACGGGUAGCCGGCCUGAGAGGGCGACCGGCCACACUGGGACUGAGACACGGCCCAGACUCCUACGGGAGGCAGCAGUGGGGAAUAUUGCGCAAUGGGCGAAAGCCUGACGCAGCGACGCCGCGUGAGGGAUGAAGGCCUCGGUU
RNAcentral lists this ribosomal RNA (385 nucleotides) under uncultured bacterium. Its description in RNAcentral is "bacterial SSU rRNA". It matches the Rfam family "Bacterial small subunit ribosomal RNA", at positions 28 to 424 of the family's 1533-position model. The record is from RNAcentral.